This 276-nucleotide ribosomal RNA is filed under the name Ruminococcus bromii. RNAcentral's name for it is "partial 16S ribosomal RNA". It matches the Rfam family "Bacterial small subunit ribosomal RNA", at positions 524 to 796 of the family's 1533-position model. The record is from RNAcentral. Lineage: Bacteria; Bacillati; Bacillota; Clostridia; Eubacteriales; Oscillospiraceae.
UACGUAGGGAGCAAGCGUUGUCCGGAUUUACUGGGUGUAAAGGGUGCGUAGGCGGCUUUGCAAGUCAGAUGUGAAAUCUAUGGGCUCAACCCAUAAACUGCAUUUGAAACUGUAGAGCUUGAGUGAAGUAGAGGCAGGCGGAAUUCCCCGUGUAGCGGUGAAAUGCGUAGAGAUGGGGAGGAACACCAGUGGCGAAGGCGGCCUGCUGGGCUUUAACUGACGCUGAGGCACGAAAGCGUGGGUAGCAAACAGGAUUAGAUACCCCAGUGACUGACU